CCUAAACAAGAUUUGAACACCAUCAAUUCCUGCUAACAAAAUAUUAGAUAUAUAGUCCAAUACUUUCGUUUUAAUUCAUAACUACUAUUACUAUUGUUGCUGCUACUACUGCUAUUACAACUAAUUAUUUAUAACUCAAUAAUUCAGGAACUUGCGUCCAUAUAUUUUAGAUACGCACUCAAAGUAUCGAACCUCUGACCUAUCGAACCUCUGACCUUUUAGCCAGCGAGGUACUAAC
Molecule: long non-coding RNA, 238 nt
Filed under: Ananas comosus (pineapple)
Lineage: Eukaryota; Viridiplantae; Streptophyta; Magnoliopsida; Poales; Bromeliaceae
Description: long non-coding RNA (ACOM_LNC010713)
Source: RNAcentral